RNAcentral lists this ribosomal RNA (503 nucleotides) under uncultured bacterium. RNAcentral's name for it is "partial 16S ribosomal RNA". It matches the Rfam family "Bacterial small subunit ribosomal RNA", at positions 30 to 523 of the family's 1533-position model. The record is from RNAcentral.
AUUGAACGCUGGCGGCAGGCUUAACACAUGCAAGUCGAGCGGGGUGAUGGUGCUUGCACUAUCACUUAGCGGCGGACGGGUGAGUAAUGCUUAGGAAUCUGCCUAUUAGUGGGGGACAACAUCUCGAAAGGGAUGCUAAUACCGCAUACGUCCUACGAGAGAAAGCAGGGGAUCACUUGUGACCUUGCGCUAAUAGAUGAGCCUAAGUCGGAUUAGCUAGUUGGUGGGGUAAAGGCCAACCAAGGCGACGAGCUGUAGCGGGUCUGAGAGGAUGAUCCGCCACACUGGGACUGAGACACGGCCCAGACUCCUACGGGAGGCAGCAGUGGGGAAUAUUGGACAAUGGGGGGAACCCUGAUCCAGCCAUGCCGCGUGUGUGAAGAAGGCCUUAUGGUUGUAAAGCACUUUAAGCGAGGAGGAGGCUCUUUUGGUUAAUACCCAAGAUGAGUGGACGUUACCCGCAGAAUAAGCACCGGCUAACUCUGUGCCAGCAGCCGCCGUAA